CCCUUAGAUGUUCUGGGCCGCACGCGUGCUACACUGAGUGGAUCAGCGGGCCAGGUUGCGCGAAAGCGUUUCCUAAUCUUUAAAUCCGCUCGUGAUGGGGAUUGACGGUUGCAAUUUUCUGUCAUGAACGAGGAAUACCUUGUAAGCGCGGGUCAUCAUCCCGCGCUGAAUACGUCCCUGCCCUUUGUACACACCGCCCGUCGCUCCUACCGAUUGAGUGGUCCGGUGAGGCUUUGGGAUCUAAGCGGAAAGAGCGUUUCGCUGUUUCUGCUCGGAAAACUCAGUCGAACCUUAUCAUUUAGAGGAAGGAGAGGUCGUAACA
RNAcentral lists this ribosomal RNA (322 nucleotides) under uncultured eukaryote. Its description in RNAcentral is "partial 18S ribosomal RNA". It matches the Rfam family "Eukaryotic small subunit ribosomal RNA", at positions 1470 to 1796 of the family's 1831-position model. The record is from RNAcentral.